GGGCCGGGGUGUUGGGUUGUACCGUCCUCGGGUUGUCGGGGAGGAUGGGCCUCAAACAGAGUGGCAGUACCGUGUCCGGUCCUGGAGCAUGACGGGGCGUCGUCACCGGCUCCGGGGGACCGGAUCCGGUUGCUGGCCGGGCCGUUUCCAUCCAUCGAGUUGGCCUCGGAUCAGGCAGGGGUACCCGCUGAACUUAAGCAUAUCAAUAAGCGGAGGAAAAGAAACCAACGGGGAUUGCCCUAGUAACGGCGAGUGAAGUGGCAAGAGCUCAGAUUUGAAAUCUGGCCCCCCGGAAGGGGGGUCCGAGUUGUAAUUUGCAGAGGAUGCUUCGGGCCCGGUCCCCAUNUAAGUGCCCUGGAACGGGCCGCCAGAGAGGGUGAGAGUCCCGUCUGGGAUGGGAGACCGGAUCCCUGUGACGCUC
This 421-nucleotide ribosomal RNA is filed under the name uncultured fungus. Its description in RNAcentral is "eukaryotic LSU rRNA". The stretch from base 161 to 421 matches the Rfam family "Eukaryotic large subunit ribosomal RNA", at positions 1 to 254 of the family's 3401-position model. Lineage: Eukaryota; Fungi. The record is from RNAcentral.